CACACCGCCCGUCACACCAUGGGAGUUGGUUUCACCCGAAGGCGCUACGCUAGCCCGCAAGGGAGGCAGGCGACCACGGUGGGAUCAGCGACUGGGGUG
RNAcentral lists this ribosomal RNA (99 nucleotides) under uncultured bacterium. RNAcentral's name for it is "partial 16S ribosomal RNA". It matches the Rfam family "Bacterial small subunit ribosomal RNA", at positions 1386 to 1482 of the family's 1533-position model. The record is from RNAcentral.